CGCGUGAGUGAAGAAGGCCUUCGGGUUGUAAAGCUCUUUUGUCAGGGAAGAAACGGUGAGAGCUAAUAUCUCUUGCUAAUGACGGUACCUGAAGAAUAAGCACCGGCUAACUACGUGCCAGCAGCCGCGGUAAUACGUAGGGUGCAAGCGUUAAUCGGAAUUACUGGGCGUAAAGCGUGCGCAGGCGGUUUUGUAAGUCUGAUGUGAAAUCCCCGGGCUCAACCUGGGAAUUGCAUUGGAGACUGCAAGGCUAGAAUCUGGCAGAGGGGGGUAGAAUUCCACGUGUAGCAGUGAAAUGCGUAGAUAUGUGGAGGAACACCGAUGGCGAAGGCAGCCCCCUGGGUCAAGAUUGACGCUCAUGCACGAAAGCGUGGGGAGCAAACAGGAUUAGAUACCCUGGUAGUCCACGCCCUAAACGAUGUCUACUAGUUGUCGGGUCUUAAUUGACUUGGUAACGCAGCU
Molecule: ribosomal RNA, 462 nt
Filed under: uncultured beta proteobacterium
Lineage: Bacteria; Pseudomonadati; Pseudomonadota; Betaproteobacteria
Description: bacterial SSU rRNA
Rfam family: Bacterial small subunit ribosomal RNA
Source: RNAcentral